AGCAGCCGCGGUAAUUCCAGCUCCAAUAGCGUAUAUUAAAGUUGUUGCAGUUAAAAAGCUCGUAGUUGAAUUUCGGAAUUUUUUUAUCGGUUGAAUCAACAGGUUCGUACUGAUUUUAAGAAUUUCUACCUUCUGGAGAACCUUAAUGUCAUUUAUUUGAUGUUUUGGGAAACCAGGACUGUUACCUUGAAAAAAUUAGAGUGUUUAAAGCAGGCUUAUGUCUGAAUAUAUUAGCAUGGAAUAAUGAAAUAGGACGGCAUGGUUCUAUUUUGUUGGUUUCUAGGAUCACCGUAAUGAUUAAUAGGGAUAGUUGGGGGCAUUAGUAUUCAAUUGUCAGAGGUGAAAUUCUUGGAUUUAUUGAAGACUAACUUCUGCGAAAGCAUUUGCCAAGGAUGUUUUCAUUAAUUCAAGAACGAAAGUUAGGGGAUCGAAGACGAUCAGAUACCGUCGUAGUCUUACCAUAACUAUGCCGACUAGGAAUCGGACGAAGUUAAUUUUUAAUGACUACGUUCGGCGCCUU
RNAcentral lists this ribosomal RNA (520 nucleotides) under uncultured Pacispora. RNAcentral describes it as "SSU rRNA". It matches the Rfam family "Eukaryotic small subunit ribosomal RNA", at positions 569 to 1089 of the family's 1831-position model. Lineage: Eukaryota; Fungi; Glomeromycota; Glomeromycetes; Diversisporales; Pacisporaceae. The record is from RNAcentral.